UUGCCCUAGUAACGGCGAGUGAAGCGGCAACAGCUCAAAUUUGAAAUCUGGCUCUCUUUGGGGGUCCGAGUUGUAAUUUGCAGAGGAUGCUUUGGCAUUGGCGGCGGUCUAAGUUCCUUGGAACAGGACAUCACAGAGGGUGAGAAUCCCGUACGUGGUCGCCUGCCUUUGCCGUGUAAAGCUCCUUCGACGAGUCGAGUUGUUUGGGAAUGCAGCUCUAAAUGGGAGGUAAAUUUCUUCUAAAGCUAAAUACCGGCCAGAGACCGAUAGCGCACAAGUAGAGUGAUCGAAAGAUGAAAAGUACUUUGGAAAGAGAGUCAAAAAGCACGUGAAAUUGUUGAAAGGGAAGCGCUUGCAGCCAGACUUGCCCGCAGUUGCUCACCUAGGCUUUGGCCUGGGGCACUCUUCUGCGGGCAGGCCAGCAUCAGUUUGGGCGGUUGGAUAAAGGCCUCUGUCACGUAUCUUCCUUCGGGAUGACCUUAUAGGGGAGGCGUAAUGCAACCAGCCCGGACUGAGGUCCGCGCAUCUGCUAGGAUGCUGGCGUAAUGGCUGUAAGCGGCCCGUCUUGAAACACGGACCAAGGAGUCUAACAUCUAUGCGAGUGUUUGGGUGUCAAGCCCGGGCGCGCAAUGAAAGUGAACGGAGGUGGGAACCCUUUGGGUGCACCAUCGACCGAUCCUGAUGUCUUCGGAUGGAUUUGAGUAAGAGCAUAGCUGUUGGGACCCGAAAGAUGGUGAACUAUGCUUGAAUAGGGUGAAGCCAGAGGAAACUCUGGUGGAGGCUCGCAGCGGUUCUGACGUGCAAAUCGAUCGUCAAAUUUGGGCAUAGGGGCGAAAGACUAAUCG
RNAcentral lists this ribosomal RNA (845 nucleotides) under Didymosphaeria sp. RNAcentral's name for it is "partial large subunit ribosomal RNA". It matches the Rfam family "Eukaryotic large subunit ribosomal RNA", at positions 75 to 937 of the family's 3401-position model. Lineage: Eukaryota; Fungi; Ascomycota; Dothideomycetes; Pleosporales; Didymosphaeriaceae. The record is from RNAcentral.